This 428-nucleotide ribosomal RNA is filed under the name uncultured bacterium. Its description in RNAcentral is "bacterial SSU rRNA". It matches the Rfam family "Bacterial small subunit ribosomal RNA", at positions 89 to 507 of the family's 1533-position model. The record is from RNAcentral.
CGGCGAGCGGCGGACGGGUGAGGAAUGCAUCGGGAAAUCUGCCUCGUUGUGGGGGGAUAACGUAGGGAAACUUACGCUAAUACCCGCAUACGACCGUCGGGUGAAAGUGGGGGACCUUCGGGCCUCACGCGAUGAGAUGAGCCGAUGCCGGAUUAGCUAGUUGGCGGGGUAAAGGCCCACCAAGGCGACGAUCCGUAAGCUGGUCUGAGAGGAUGAUCAGCCACACUGGAACUGAGACACGGUCCAGACUCCUUACGGGAGGCAGCAGUGGGGAAUAUUGGACAAUGGGGGCAACCCUGAUCCAGCCAUGCCGCGUGUGUGAAGAAGGCCUUCGGGUUGUAAAGCACUUUUGUUGGGGAAGAAACCGGCCGGGUUAAUACCCUGGUUGAAUGACGGUACCCAAAGAAUAAGCACCGGCUAACUUCGUG